GACCAGACUCCUACGGGAGGCAGCAGUGAGGAAUGUUGGUCAAUGGCCGAGAGGCUGAACCAGCCAAGUCGCGUGAGGGAUGACGGUCCUAUGGAUUGUAAACCUCUUUUGUCGGGGAGCAAAAGACGCCACGCGUGGCGUUCCGAGAGUACCCGAAGAAAAAGCAUCGGCUAACUCCGUGCCAGCAGCCGCGGUAAUACGGAGGAUGCGUGCGUUAUCCGGAUUUAUUGGGUUUAAAGGGUGCGCAGGCGGAAUGUCAAGUCAGCGGUAAAAUUUCGGGGCUCAACCCCGUCGUGCCGUUGAAACUGGCGUUCUUGAGUGAGCGAGAAGUAUGCGGAAUGCGUGGUGUAGCGGUGAAAUGCAUAGAUAUCACGCAGAACUCCGAUUGCGAAGGCAGCAUACCGGCGCUCAACUGACGCUCAUACACGAAAGCGUGGGUAUCGAACAGGAUUAGAUACCCGCGUAC
This 466-nucleotide ribosomal RNA is filed under the name uncultured bacterium. RNAcentral describes it as "bacterial SSU rRNA". It matches the Rfam family "Bacterial small subunit ribosomal RNA", at positions 329 to 793 of the family's 1533-position model. The record is from RNAcentral.